GCCAGCGUGGUGGAAUGGUAGACACGACGGAUUCAAAAUCCGUUAUCUUCGGAUGUGGGGGUUCAAGUCCCCCCGCUGGUACCA
This 84-nucleotide transfer RNA is filed under the name Pseudomonadales bacterium. Its description in RNAcentral is "tRNA-Leu". It matches the Rfam family "tRNA". Rfam says of the family: Transfer RNA (tRNA) molecules are approximately 80 nucleotides in length. Their secondary structure includes four short double-helical elements and three loops (D, anti-codon, and T loops). Further hydrogen bonds mediate the characteristic L-shaped molecular structure. tRNAs have two regions of fundamental functional importance: the anti-codon, which is responsible for specific mRNA codon recognition, and the 3' end, to which the tRNAs corresponding amino acid is attached (by aminoacyl-tRNA synthetases). tRNAs cope with the degeneracy of the genetic code in two manners: having more than one tRNA (with a specific anti-codon) for a particular amino acid; and 'wobble' base-pairing, i.e. permitting non-standard base-pairing at the 3rd anti-codon position. Lineage: Bacteria; Pseudomonadati; Pseudomonadota; Gammaproteobacteria; Pseudomonadales. RNAcentral also lists the same sequence under 3 other names. The record is from RNAcentral.